UACAGAGGGUGCAAGCGUUGUUCGGAAUUAUUGGGCGUAAAGCGCGUGUAGGCGGCUUUGCAAGUCGGGUGUGAAAGCCCUCAGCUUAACUGAGGAAGUGCGCCCGAAACUGCAGAGCUUGAGUACCGGAGAGGAUGGCGGAAUUCCCCAAGUAGAGGUGAAAUUCGUAGAUAUGGGGAGGAACACCGGUGGCGAAGGCGGCCAUCUGGACGGAUACUGACGCUGAGGAGCGAAAGCAUGGGGAGCGAACAGG
Molecule: ribosomal RNA, 253 nt
Filed under: uncultured bacterium
Lineage: Bacteria
Description: partial 16S ribosomal RNA
Rfam family: Bacterial small subunit ribosomal RNA
Source: RNAcentral